Molecule: non-coding RNA, 460 nt
Filed under: Pan troglodytes (chimpanzee)
Lineage: Eukaryota; Metazoa; Chordata; Mammalia; Primates; Hominidae
Source: RNAcentral
UUUUUUUUUUUGAGACGAAGUCUCGAUCUUGUCCCCCAGGCUGGAGUGUGAUGGCGUGAUGGUGCGAUCUUGGCUCACUGCAACUUCCGCCUCCCGGUUUCAAGCAAUUCUCCUGCCUCGGCCCCCCAAGUAGCUGGGAUUACAGGCAGGAGAACCACUUGAACCUGGGAGGUAGAGAUUGCAGCGAGCUGAGGUCACAUCACUGCACUCCAGCCUUGGCGACAGAGGGAGACUUUGUCUCAACAACAAUAACAAAAAAAACAAAAAAAUAAAUAAAAAUAUAUUUCCAGUUUCUUCUGUAGUUGUUGGUCUUUUCAAUGAAGGCAACUAAAACCUUUUUAAUUAUUUAGUUUAUUUUUAAUGCUGUAAUGAAUUUGUAUUUUCCUAAAAUACUUUACAUAACAGUACCCUUUUUUAUUCAUAAUACCACGUGAUUUUUUUUCUCUUGAUUAGCCUUGUC